UACGUAGGGUGCGAGCGUUAUCCGGAUUUAUUGGGUUUAAAGGGUGCGCAGGCGGCACGGCAAGCCGGCGGUCAAAUCGCGGGGCUCAACCCCGCCCAGCCGUCGGAACUGCCGGGCUAGAGUGGGCGAGAAGUGCGCGGAAUGCGUGGUGUAGCGGUGAAAUGCAUAGAUAUCACGCAGAACUCCGAUUGCGAAGGCAGCGCACCGGCGCCCUACUGACGCUCAGGCACGAAAGCGUGGGUAUCGAACAGG
RNAcentral lists this ribosomal RNA (252 nucleotides) under uncultured bacterium. RNAcentral's name for it is "partial 16S ribosomal RNA". It matches the Rfam family "Bacterial small subunit ribosomal RNA", at positions 524 to 776 of the family's 1533-position model. The record is from RNAcentral.